GGAUUCCCCCAGUAACGGCGAGUGAAGAGGGAAAAGCCCAAAUUUGUAAUCUGGCUCUUUUAGAGUCCGAGUUGUAAUUUUGAGAACUGUUUUCUGUGCUGGACCAUGUUUAAGUCUGUUGAAAAACAGCAUCAUUGAGGGUGAUAAUCCCGUUCAUGAUAUGGACUACCAGUGCUCUAUGAUACAGUCUCUAAGAGUCGAGUUGUUUGGGAAUGCAGCUCAAAGUGGGUGGUAAAUUCCAUCUAAGGCUAAAUAUAGGUGAGAGACCGAUAGCAAACAAGUACCGUGAGGGAAAGAUGAAAAGAACUUUGGAAAGAGAGUUAACAGUACGUGAAAUUGCUGAAAGGGAAACAAUUGAAGUUAGCCUUGUUAUUUCCAGUUCAACCCUUUUAGGGUGUAUUCUGGUGAUUAACGACCAACAUCAGUCUUUGAGUGCUGGAUAAGGGUUUUGGAAAUGUAGCAGUCUAGGCUGUGUUAUAGUCCAUUACUUUGAUACAAUGCUUAGGAUUGAGGAUCGCAGUAAGCCAAUCUUGGUGGAUCAAUUUAUUGGUCUUCUUAC
This 559-nucleotide ribosomal RNA is filed under the name Phakopsora euvitis. RNAcentral's name for it is "eukaryotic LSU rRNA". It matches the Rfam family "Eukaryotic large subunit ribosomal RNA", at positions 72 to 634 of the family's 3401-position model. The record is from RNAcentral. RNAcentral also lists the same sequence under 1 other name. Lineage: Eukaryota; Fungi; Basidiomycota; Pucciniomycetes; Pucciniales; Phakopsoraceae.